Molecule: transfer RNA, 91 nt
Filed under: Candidatus Profftella armatura (Diaphorina cf. continua)
Lineage: Bacteria; Pseudomonadati; Pseudomonadota; Betaproteobacteria
Description: tRNA-Leu
Rfam family: tRNA
About the family: Transfer RNA (tRNA) molecules are approximately 80 nucleotides in length. Their secondary structure includes four short double-helical elements and three loops (D, anti-codon, and T loops).
Source: RNAcentral
GCCCUGGUGGUGAAAUUGGUAUACACAAGGGACUUAAAAUCCCUCGCUCUAUAAAUAAAGCUUGCCGGUUCAAGUCCGGCCCAGGGCACCA